This is a long non-coding RNA of Cyanistes caeruleus (blue tit), 1744 nucleotides long. RefSeq lists it as uncharacterized. NCBI's taxonomy places the organism in Eukaryota, Metazoa, Chordata, Aves, Passeriformes, Paridae. The record is from RefSeq and is a predicted model, not a curated record.
GCCGGGCCGGGCCGGGCUGAGGGGCGUUGAUACCCAACAGCGGGAAUUGAGCUCUGGAGGCUUUUCUGUCAGAAUUAGUUUCCAGUUCAUGCGUCGGGCCACUCACUUCACUUUUUCCAAACGCCUACAAGUCUUGGGGCUUUUUUGAAGGGGAAGAAGAAAUGUUUUCCUCUGUGGACCAGCCAGGAAAUAGCUGUUGUUGGCAAGGACAAGGAUAAAGGGUCAUGCUAAGGAAGAUGACAAAAGACAGAUAACAACAAGUCUGUCAGAAACUGAUGAGAAUUUCAUCAAGACUGAAGAAGUCAGUCAAGAUAAACAUUCCCUUGAAAUAUCCCGAUGAACCUGGACUUUCAGAAAGUAGUAAAUGUUCAGUGUAUGAACACAGCAUUUCUUUCAGAUCAGAAGUAUCUGCAAGUGAGCAACUCUAGUCUUAAUCCCAGUUCCAUGCAGACCAUGCUGGUUCCGUUCAAGUAAAUCAGCUGAAACUCUGGCUUACUGCAAAAAGUCAGCCUAUUUGUCUUGGAAGCUUUGCUUCACAACAGUACAGGCAAAUGAAUUUCCCAGUUAUUCAUUCAGAAAUGUAGGAGAGGAGAAGAAGAAACUGUUCAGCCCCUGAGAUCCUGUCAGAUUAAAGCUAAAGAACACAGGCUAUGUUUGGGCCUCAGUAUGCAACUACUUGAUUUAGGGUAGAACUGGUAGAAUGAGUUUUUAACAUUUCAUUUUGCAAGGUUCCUUGAAAUGUGUAAAAAAUAGUAUUCUGAGGAAUCUUUAUAAUUCUGUGGAAAUCCAAUGUAUUUUUUUACUCAAGAACUGCACAUGUGGGAAGAUGUUUUUUCAUUUAAUAAUUUUAUGUUUUAAAGGAACGGGUUUCUAGCUUGGAGUUUUGCUAAAAAAUAAAAUCUAGCCAUCUGCACAAAUAUGUGCUGUCAACCAGGUGAUAUUUUCUAGUCUUUUCCAGAUAUUUUCUCCCUGUGCUAGAGAAGUAGGAUACAUUGAAAAAAAGUAAAAGUAAAAUAAUUCUUCUUUGCUUUGGAAAGCAACCUUUUGUAAUGUGUAAUCCUAUGUUACCACUUCCUUGAAAAAGCUUUCUUUUACCUAAAAUAAACUUUCUGAAAUAACUCUCACCAUUUGGGAAGCUUUCAACACAUUGUAGGACAGAGUUUUUCUUUUUCUCUUCCAAUAAUGCUUUGCACCAUGCUGUGGCUUGAACUUUAUUUUCACAUGUUGUGGGAGCAUCUGAAAUCCCUUGCCAGUCCACCUUUCUCUCCAAAUCCUUGGAACAGAAUUGACAGGAAAGCAGGAUAUCCAUAAAGAAGAAUCAAACUUUGUAACACACCCUUGACAGCCUGAGUCAUUUGAUGGGGUCCUUCAAGGUAAAAGGUCAUGAAACAUCAGAGAAAAAGAAGACUUCUUCAAAAACCCUAAACCUUAACCUUUUGCAAGAACUAUACUUCUUUUACUUCCCAAGAAGAAACAUGUGCUUCAAAAUGAAAUAUUUCUACAAUGUAGUAAUAAACUAGUGUCAAAUAGGGAACAGGUGUAAAAUUGCUCAACAAUUCUGUUCUGUUUUAAAGUGUGCAUUGGGGAAGGUCCAUAACAAAAAUGGUUUUGGUUUCGUUUUUUGGGGUUUUUUUUAACUGUACUCUAUUCUUUGAUCCAGUUUGUUCCCAAAUCUCUUGUAUAUAAGAGAUACUACUCAUGGUUUUUGCUUAAGUAGGAGCCAUAAUAUAAAGAGAAUUUGCAA